Molecule: ribosomal RNA, 973 nt
Filed under: Tropicoporia centrali-africana
Lineage: Eukaryota; Fungi; Basidiomycota; Agaricomycetes; Polyporales; Polyporaceae
Description: eukaryotic LSU rRNA
Rfam family: Eukaryotic large subunit ribosomal RNA
Source: RNAcentral
UUACCCGCUGAACUUAAGCAUAUCAAUAAGCGGAGGAAAAGAAACUAACAAGGAUUCCCCUAGUAACUGCGAGUGAAGCGGGAAAAGCUCAAAUUUAAAAUCUGGCGGUCUUUGGCCGUCCGAGUUGUAGUCUGGAGAAGUGCUUUCCGCGCUGGACCGUGUAUAAGUCUCUUGGAACAGAGCGUCAUAGAGGGUGAGAAUCCCGUCUUUGACACGGACUACCAGUGCUUUGUGAUGCGCUCUCAAAGAGUCGAGUUGUUUGGGAAUGCAGCUCAAAAUGGGUGGUGAAUUCCAUCUAAAGCUAAAUAUUGGCGAGAGACCGAUAGCGAACAAGUACCGUGAGGGAAAGAUGAAAAGCACUUUGGAAAGAGAGUUAAACAGUACGUGAAAUUGCUGAAAGGGAAACGCUUGAAGUCAGUCGCGUCGGCCGGAACUCAGCCUUGCUUUUGCUUGGUGCACUUUCCGGUUGACGGGCCAGCAUCGAUUUUGACCGUCGGAAAAGGGCUAGAGUAAUGUGGCACCUCCGGGUGUGUUAUAGACUCUAGUCGCAUACGGCGGUUGGGAUCGAGGAACGCAGCGCGCCGCAAGGCAGGGGUUCGCCCACUUUCGCGCUUAGGAUGCUGGCAUAAUGGCUUUAAACGACCCGUCUUGAAACACGGACCAAGGAGUCUAACAUACCUGCGAGUGUUUGGGUGGAAAACCCGAGCGCGUAAUGAAAGUGAAAGUUGGGACCUCUGUCGUGGAGGGCACCGACGCCCGGACCUGACGUUCUCUGACGGAUCCGCGGUAGAGCAUGUAUGUUGGGACCCGAAAGAUGGUGAACUAUGCUCUGAAUAGGGUGAAGCCAGAGGAAACUCUGGUGGAGGCUCGUAGCGAUUCUGACGUGCAAAUCGAUCGUCAAAUUUGGGUAUAGGGGCGAAAGACUAAUUCGAACCCUCUAGUAGUUGGUUCCUGCCGAAGUUUCCCUCAGGAA